Molecule: long non-coding RNA, 411 nt
Filed under: Arabidopsis lyrata
Lineage: Eukaryota; Viridiplantae; Streptophyta; Magnoliopsida; Brassicales; Brassicaceae
Description: long non-coding RNA (ALYR_LNC001699)
Source: RNAcentral
GGUGAAGUUCAAGGAUGCAAAGAAGACAUCACUUGAUGAAGUUGAGAAUCCGAAGUAGGAGUCAACUGAAACAAGACGGAGGAAGCCGCCUGUGUAAGAAACAGAGCAAGGCUUAGUAUCAAAAGGUGUUGUUGAAUUGUAAAGAACACUGCAACACGGAGUAAGCUUCUGUUGGGAGAACAGUGCAAGGCUACUCAGCAAAAAGGUUCAAGGGAACUGAUGAGACGUCAUCGAGACGUGAUGGUGAUCAAAAGAGGACACCAUAAGAGGAUGCUUACCUCGGAGAAAAAUGGAGCACAAGAGGAUGCUUACCUCGGAGAAAAAUGGAGCAUAAGUCGGUUGAAGAGUAAACCGAAGACGACGUGAAGAAGAUUCACGCACAAGACGUCAUGGAGACGUUAUGGUGAUCAA